Long non-coding RNA from Triticum dicoccoides, 243 nucleotides. RefSeq lists it as uncharacterized. The record is from RefSeq and is a predicted model, not a curated record. NCBI's taxonomy places the organism in Eukaryota, Viridiplantae, Streptophyta, Magnoliopsida, Poales, Poaceae. The transcript is spliced from 3 exons.
GAAUAGGCGGUAUUUUCAAGUGAAACAACUAUGCGAGUGAGUGCUCAAAAAAGGAUGGACACAGGGCAUGGUGAACUGCUUGCUUGAGAUCAGAUCCAACAAUGUGUAUGCAUGGAGCAGUGACUCUUUAUUUUCCACUUCAUUUGCUUUUUUAUGGGUACACUUGGUAUGCUAAGCGAAAACUACUUCCAGAUGUCGAAGAAUCAUUCAGUACAUCAUCUCAAUAUGGAAUGUCAUCUUAAA